CAUCAAGGGAGCUUCCAAAUAUACUUAUCACCGUAAAUCGUGUAUGUUCAUCAUACAUCGUGUAAUCAGUUUUUUGUCAGGUACUGUUUGUAUUUAAUUUUAAUUAAAAAUAUUUAAAAUAAUUUCUGAUCGCACGAUGUACAACGAACGGAUAUGAUUCACGAAUCCUCAGAAUCCUCACAAAGAGGAUCUAACGAGGAUCCGGAUUCCCUACAACAUAGGAUGAUAAGUACAAUUAACUUAUGGCGGAGGGAAAAAACUAAAAUUAAAAAUUAAAGUCUAUGAUGUAGGUAGAUAAACACCCUUAAAAUGCUUGCACAUGCAAUUGUAUUUGAUUAUCUAUAUCACAUAUUAGGAGGCUAGGAGCAUAACUUAUGAUUUCAUGGAGAAGAGUGCUUUCAACAAUUUUAAAUGCAAUUUCAAAUCAGCCUUAAAGAUUCGAAUUCAGAUUUGAUCCUACACUUCCAUGCACCAUAAUGUACUUUUAAAAUUUUGUACGGAAUGAUAAGUACUAAAAUUAGAUGACGUAAGUACGUAACAAGCAUAAUACUAAAAAAACGGAGAAACAACAUAUAUAUCAUCAACAAAGAUAUAUUCAAACUUCCCACACAUGAAUCGAACUUAAUUUCAUAAUUAUCAUUAGAGAUUAGUUAAACACUUCAUUAAUAUCGGAAUCUCAUACUUCUAAAGGCAUUAACCCUAAUUCCUGCCAUUAAUCACCAAAAUGCACUGUCUUACUAGUACUACAAUCCAUGAUAUACUAUAUAUAAGUAAUUUUCUAAGCCUCAGCAGCACCACCAGCGUCACCACCAUCCACAUUGUCAUCAGGAACACCAUGAUCAUCCUCCGCCGCGGGCAUGUUCAGGUCGAAUCCACCGCCGCCUUCAUUGUCCUCCUCCACAUCGACGGCUUCGUUGAGAUCGAAUCCACGUAUAACAUUAGCAGCAGCAUUACUUGCUUCCUCUACGUACACAACAUAAACAAUGUUGAUAUAAUUAUAUCCCAAUAUCAUCAUCUAUGAUACAAGCAAAUUAAACAACAAAAUGAAAAGUUAAUUUCGUUGCCACUUAAUUGUUAGAUUAGGGCAAACUAAUUAAUUACCUUGUUGGUGUCCUGGGGGUGGGAAGGCGCCCCUAUAGCCACGCUCUGGGUGGCUACGCAGGUGCCCAAACAAUGCUUUCCACGAACUGAAAUCCGACCGUUUGCAUACGGGGCAAGUCGGAGUCACUCCUUCCGGGGCAUUGACUUCGGCUUUGCGCUUGCCAGGCUGGCCACCGGCGGCCAUGCUCCCCGCUGCCGCAAGUCCCCCUCCUAAAGAUAUUUCAACGCUGACGGGAGCAAAACUACUCCCACCAAUUUGAGUGAUGCUUCCCGCUGCAGAAGGAGGGGCUGAGGACGACCCUCUCCCUAAAAAAGAGGGCGAUCCUCUCCCGCCAGGAGGAGAUUUUUCGCCAGAGGGUGAUCCCCUGCCUGGAGUCCUCCGGCCACCAGAGCGUGCGCCCCUUCUUGGGGUGGAUGUCCCCCUACCAGGAGAGGAUGACGCACGACCAGGAAGUCCUCUGUUGGGUGUAGAAGGAGUCAGAGAGGGCCCUCCGGUAGCAGACUCUCCUCCCACAUUGAAUUGACCAGAGGUAGGAGGAGUACGAACAGGAAGAGACCCAGAGGACCCCCCGACAACGAAUCCACCGAACCAUCCUGAUCCCACAUUGACUUGACCAGUGCUAGGAGGAGCAGGAGUCGGCGCAGGAGGACUUGGUGGUCCAGUAGGAGCAGCCCCAGUAACGUUGGAGCUAAUGUUCUCGUUACGUGGUUGCUGUCCCUCGGCGGAGGAGCCCUGGUUGGUGGCGGUGGUGGUGUCCUUGGGGUUAGUCAUACUGAUAUUUGUCACUUGAGAGAGAGAAAGAAACACUGUCCGAACGGCAAAGUGUUCAUCAUGUCCUGCGGAAGAAGUUUAUAUAAUUAGGGUUCUCGGAAAUUCCAGAUUGGCACUGUUCUGUACAAAAAGAUGCGUCUCAAUCUUCGAAGGGCACUCACUGCAAACUGCAAUGCAUGCGACUCUUCGUCUCUGAAAAAUGGUAACUUCUGGGAAUCAUAUGCAGCGCGACAUUUGCACCAAGGGUCGUGUUUUUUGAACAUCGGCCGUUGAUGUUCGCGUGUAAACCCAUCGAACGGUGCUUGGUGCUCGGUGGUUUUCAUGCAUGAAGGCGCCGCCACAAUGCAUAUCACGAUUGGGUGGCUUUCCAAGGAGAAGGGAACUGUACCGGUUGGUGAGAGGGAACGAAGCUUCAGUGAACGAAAUGACGAUUUUGACCUUGAGGUCCGAGUCCUCCGACGAAACAUAUAUAUUGACAUUAGGGCAAAUAUGGUAUGACAUGCAAGAGAAAACCUGAAAAGUUAAUCAUGAAACGGCUUCCAUAUUUGUUCAUAUGUGAGCCAAAAUCUAACCUGGAUUAUUUGUUUCUAACAAUCUGGGAUACAUUGCACCUCUAAUUCAAAUUUGGGAGAUUGGUGAGCAUGUAAUUUUUUAUUUAAAGAAUAUAUUGUUCUAAUUUACGGGAAUAUAGAUUUAAAUUUGAGUGCAAAGCGGCGGUCACACUAUCGUUAUCAAGACCUAACUUGUAUUUUGUAAAUGAGCCAACAUGAUCCUCUUCGGAUCCUUUUGGUGACGAUCCUAUGAAUUGUAUCAGUUCAUCGUACAUCGUGCGAUCAGUUUUUGUCAAGUACUGUUUAUGUUUAUUUUUAAAUAAAAAUAUUUAAAAUGAUUUUUAACCAUACGAUGUACGAUGAACGGACACGAUUCACGAAUUCUUAGAAGCCUCACAAAGAGGAUCCGGCGAAGAUCCAAACUAGUAAAUGAGUAACAAGCCCCUCAUUUCAAAAAUGUCAUUGGUGAACAUUAUCCAAAUAAAAAUAAAAAUAACUUUGGAAAUGAUGAGGUCGCUAAAUUCAAGUACAAUGUACGACUAAUCUACUGCAUGUAAUUUCUUAUAGAAAAUCUACUACAACUCAUGUUUGGUUGAAUUGGAUUAGGUCAUUAACAAUUCGAUUAACUUAACUAAUUAGGAUUAAGUAAACAUAGGAAGUUGUUGAAUUAAUUCCAUGUAUUUCUUAGAGAGGAGCAAUGUUAUUUAGACACAAAACUGUUUUACACUCAAUUAAUAUAAUUGGAUUUCACAUACAAUAUAUAGCAUGGCCUACCAAAAAAAAUGGAGUUCUCUAGCAAGGUACUUUGAUCCAAGCCCAAAUAUUUGAGCUGUUAUUAAAUUUUCUUUAAUUAUUUGAAAAUAUGACUAAACUUAUUUGCUGACUAAAUUUGAAAUUUUUGUGAUUAAAAGUCAAAAUUGAUAUCAAUGUUAAAUUUAUUUUAAUUAAUCUUAAUAGUGAAUCCCUUAUUUCACUAACAUUUUACCCAAUAAUUUUUUUAAUUUUUUUAAUAAAUACAACCAUUUAAAGCUCUAUAUUAAUAAGAAAAUAACAUUUGACAUUUCGGUUGAAGAAGUACAAAAUUUGAUAUAAGACUUCAGAUUGCCACAUGAGCAUCAAUUGUAAUUUGUUUGUUAGAAUUUGACAUUUUCUUUGGGUAAGAAAGGGGGAAAACACAUGGAAAUUUAAGGGUCUGUUUGAUACCUAUUCAUUUUUUUUAUCAUUUUUUAAAACAUUUCUUAAAAAUAAUUUUCUUUAGGACUAAAAAACUUGAUUGGUUUGUGAAAAAAAAAAGGAGAGAGAAAGAAGAAAAGAGAGAUAGAUUUGGAUUGAGGAGAGAAGUGAGAGAAAAGAAAUUAGUCAAUUUAAGUUUAAAAACCCUAAAAACUCACUUUUUAUGUAUUUAGAGAAUAUAUUAUAUUUUUGAGCUAGUCUUGAGUUUAGUUUUUGAAAAUAGUCAUACCAAACAAGUUUUUAAAGCCUAAAGCCUAAAACUUGAAAAUUGUUUUUUAGUUUAAAAAGUUGAAUUCAAGUAGAGUACCAAACAGGCCCUAAACAGCUAUGUCUACCUACAAAUACUUGAAAAGUGCAAGAAAUAUCUCCUAAGUACACAACUUUUCCAAACCAUUCAUGUGGUAAACAAUUUCUCUUUUUCUUAUGUACACUCGGGACUGCCAGGCAUCCGAGGAAGGAGACCAUAAUCCGAUGACCAUAGAUUUGCGCCGCCACUAACAUAGGGCUCGUAUAGUCAGAAUAUCACAUCUCAGAUUCUCAGGUCUAACAUGACUAAUCUCGGCAGGCACCACAUGGACAGAACCAGAUAAAUGGAAACAUUGAAAAUAUAACCUAUCUGCCCAAAUUCCCCAAAAGCCGCUCGACUGCUGCGUGGACAUUUCCUGCGGUGGCCAUCAGAGCCCGUAUGUUCUCUUGUCGGUCAAAGAAACCCAUCUCCUGAAGUUGGGAAAGCUGCGCAGCAUAGAGUUCAUCCGGAGGCACUGAAAUACACGGCAUAUAAUUAAGGGAACUUUAACGAAAAGCACCUGGUACUGUUCAUUUUAACGAAAAACCACAUUUUUACACUAAAAAGUCAAUCCUGGUACUAUUCACUUUACCUUUUAUUUUGUCCUUAUCAUUAAAACUCAAAGUUUUCAAACCCUUUUCAUUAGUUUUUCUUAUAAUUAAUACAAACCAAACAAAAGAAAUCCUUCUAUAUAAGAAAUGAAAGGUAAGUGGUAGCCAUCAGGCGGAUUGGGAACAGCCAAGCUGCCAGUGCUAAGCCCGCCAAACAUGUUCAUCAGCGUGUCUAACCCCAUGUUAUUGAAUAAUCCUGUUUCAACGAAUGCAUUAACAUGCGACCAAUUACCACAAUGAAUAUCCUUAAAACAGAAUACGCGAGUGUACUCUUUUAGAUUAGGUUGUUACCAUAACCUGCUUCUGGAAUCUCACUUCCAGCAUGUUUUUCAUUCAUUGAAAAUCAGAAACGAAAACCCACUCUGUCCCAAGUUUUCACCAAACCCCUAGUACCCAUAGUUCGAAAUAAAGACAAAUAAAAUGGAUAUCGACUUGGAUACCUGUUCCUGCACCAGUCUGACCUGGCGCCCUGCAAGCUGCAAGUAAACAUGAAUUUAGUACAACUCAACGAGAAAAAACCAGUAAUGACAGCUGAUCAACACAAGCAAUGCAAAAACGAAAGCCUAACCAACGAACAUGCACAGUUAGAUGUUUCUUAUUUCCAAUAGGAGUUGAUUCAAUGACCCUGCGCCAAUAUUUCUAGACUAGUGACUGCAUAUGGUAUUGUUCAAGCAGUGAACCAAUGACCAUUUCCCAACUUGUUUAACAACGAAAUCCAAGCCAAGACACACCAAACAUCAGUAGCAAUCUAUUGAAACCGGUUUGUAUGGAUGGGUUGUAUGUAUAAGUUGUCAUCCUCACCAUAGCUUGUCAUUCACCUUACAUCAACCUUUCUCCAUAACUUGUCAUUCACCAAUCACUUUCCAUAGCUUGUCAUUCACCUUACAUCAACCUUUCUCCAUAGCUUGUCAUUCAUCAAUCAGUGACUGCAUCAACACAAGCAAUGAAAAGACGAAAGCCUAAGCAAUGAACAUGCACAGUUAUGUUCUUUCUUAUCUCCAAUAGGAGUUGAUUCAAUUACCCUGCGCCAAUAUUUCUAAACUAGUGACUUCAUAUGGUAUUGCAAGCUGUGAAUCAAUGAUCAUUUACCCAACUUGUUUAACAACGAAAUCCAAGCCAGGACAAACCAAAGUACAGUAGCAAUACAACGCUUAGUAAAGGAACAAAUUAAAUAGUCUAACUCAACUGGCCAAGAACUCUUGACAUACAGUUUCAAAUUCAAUCGAGUUGCAUAACUGAUCCAUAGUGGUCUAUAUGGAACCCUCAGGCAGCUGAGGGAGAUAUAUCAAUUCAGGCUAUAUCUAUUAGACGUAUCAAAUACAAAAUUAUGUCACUUCUUACUGGGUUGACUGUUGCUGUUGCCGACCAAGUUGCGACAGAAGUGAUUGCUGCAAAGUCAAGAGCAUCUGCAUGAUAGAAAAGUAAAACCAAAGGCAAUACAGAAGCAAAAAUUAAAUAGGCACCACUACUCAAGAAGACAUCCAACGCACAUCAUUACUCAUGCAAACAUUAAGGACAUUGCCUCCCAAAUUAAAAUCAUUCAGAACCACAACGACAAGAAUUACUAUUGAUUCAUAUUGACAAGAUUUGACUGAAUUGGGCAGCUUGGACAAACAAAAACUUCAAAAUUCAAAACAUUAGGCACCCUGAAUAAAUUUACCUGCAUUGUCUCAGGAGAAUCCAAGUGAUGAAGAAAUUCCGGGUUUUGCAUCAUUUCUCUUAAAGAAGAAUUGGUAUCGAGCAUGCUGCGUAACUGGGGGUUAGAACCUAGAAUCUGCAGUCAAAUAAUGUUAAGAAAAAAUAAAUUUCAUCAUCAAGCUUAUUCUAUCAAUAGGGAAUAAAACGAUACCUCGUUCAUAUACUGAGGAUUAGAGAGGAGGCUUUGCAUUAUUUGAGAAACUGCUGGAUUUUGCAUUAACUGAUUCAGUAAAUUGCUAUCCUGCGGCAUGGCACCAAAUGCUCCUUCCAACUCUGGAUAGCUACUUCUAGCUGUGCCAGUUGGUGUCUGUGGCCUAGCAUCCCCGAAAGGAUUUGACCAUGCGGUGUUAGUUUGACCAAUUCCAACUGCUAAAUUUGGAUCUAGUCAACAACUGAUUGGUAAUGUUUAAAACAAAAAAGGGGGAACACAAAAUAUUGACCUUAACCAGAGGAAGCAAGGUUAAAAGGUUUCAUUAAAUGUUCCGUUGUAUUGUGGCUAAUAUUGUUACAACUAACUAGUAGUCUAGUACUAAUGCUAUAUUAGAAAAGGCGGAACUAGCUCAACUAUAAAAUUAAAGAUAGGAUAGUGCUAUUUGCACACCCAUUUUUACAUCCUACACACCCUUGUUAAUUUUCGGCCAUUGAUCUUAUUCAAUUCAUUCGAUCCGACAGCCGAAAAUUGAAAGUGGUAAGUGAGAAAAGUAAAAAUUGGUGUGUGGAUAGCACUACCCUAAAAAAUAACAGAUGGUGCAUGCUAGCUUAAGUGGUAUUAUCACUUCCGCUUCAUCAAGGAUGAGAAAUACUAAUACCUCUUAUCUAGUUAAAGUGCUAGAAAAGGAGAAUCUUUCUUCCCCUUCAAACUUUGUGCCAUUGACUGAUAGACGAAAUACCACAUCUCUAUCCGGACAACAUAGAAUGAUAAAAUUGAUUAGGCCAUAAGAUUGUGCACUAUGUCCCAACAACAUAAGGGACUCAAAGCAAACAAAGUUUAAGCGUACUGCUCGAAAGCGAAAACAUUGCACAAUAGAAGCAAGUGAGCAAGAGCUUACUGCCUGCAGAGGAACAUGGGUUGGGAAGUGGGUUAGUAUUUGGAGCAGGUGAACCAGUUGCUGAAUCAGAACUAACUGUCGACUGGUUAGUGGACUGAGCUCUGGUUUGGUUGCCAACUUGGGUCCUCAAAAGAGCUGCAAACGUGUUUGAACCAUCACUUCCAGCAUCCCCAGCCAUUGUCGUUGCAUUCAUUAACGGCUCUUGUACGUUCUCAUACAUGCGUCUGAGCAUGGUAAAUCCCUCUGGAGUGGCUUCGAUGUUGCUCAUGGCUCUGUCAGUGUUGCGCAUCAUCUCAAGCAUAAGCUCGGGGUUUCUUGCUGCUUCAAGUGUCUGAUAAAGAGUGCUAGGAUCAUUAAGUACGUGUGCUAGCUCGGGAUUUCGAUCUAUAAUUUCACGCAUUUGAGGGUUGUUCAUAAUCAAGUUCCGCAUAUGUCCGGAUUAUUCAUAUUAUUUUGAAUGGCAGGCACGUUCAUCAUGUCUCUGAUCACAUUAGCGUUCUGAGUCAUUUGUUCAAAGUCAGGAAACCCAUCUCCGAAUAGACCACCAGUGCCACCCAUCCCAUUUCCAUUAAGUCCAAGUCCAAGGAAUGGCGAGGCUCCAAACCCAGACCCCCCCCCCCCCCCCCCCCCCCCCAAUGUCCCACCACCUUCACUAGAUCCAACAAUCCUUGCUUGGGUAGAAUUAGCAGCUCCACCAUUGGUCGCAACCCCAGUCUUUGCUGAGGUAGCUGGCGCAAAACCACGAACCAUAUGAAGAGUGUGAUCUGCCUCCAAACCUAUUUGAAUCGAACAAAGAAUUCACAUUUGCUCCAAUAUAAAUCUUAACCUUCAUAUAGAAAAGAACCCAUGCCUAAAUUCUCAUCUCAUAAAAGAAACACAAGGAAUUGUCGAAUGCCUAAACAACAAACUGUAGAGCAUGCACCCCAAGCAGCACUACCAACGACUACAAGACAAUAAAACAAGCAGGGUUCCCACAAAGUGUUCUUUAAAUGAGAUACUUGCAUACAAACAUUUUUCACAGAGGAUAAAGAAUCAAAGCUACAAAAAAUUUAACAAAACAAUAAAAAAAUUAAAGCCUGGAAAAUUUGGAGCAAAGCUUCAUAGUCAAAAGCAUUUGAGGGAGCUGAGAGGCAACCGGAUUAUAUGUCUAUGAGAUAAUGAAAAUGCGAUUAUGAGAUUAUGUGAACACCUGUAGAUGCUCCGGUUAUAAAAUGUAAUUAUGAGACAGAGGCCCAGGGCAAUAGGGGUAGAGGAAGACCUAGGAAGACUUUGAAAGAGAUUUUAAGAAAAGACUGAGAGUACUUGGAGUUAAUGAAAGAAUAGGUGCAAAACCCAGCGCAGUGGCGUUCUAUGAUUCAUACAACUAACCCCAUUCAGUGGAAUAAGGCUUUGUUGUUGGGACAAGGAUUGUCUGCCCUCCCACUUCUGGUGCCCUCCCGUGCCCUUCUGUUUGUGUGGUCACGGUUAAGCCACGUCCAUAUUUUAUAUUACUAUUCAUUUUUUGUCUUAUUAUUUCUAUAAAAAAAAACAAUAUAAAAUGUUGACGUGGUUUAACCGUGAUUACACAAAAUAGGAAAGCACGGAGGACACUGGAAGUGGGAGGACAGACAAUCCUUGUCCUUGUUGUUGUUGUAUGAGAUAACGAAAGCUUUCUACUCAUGCCUGCCCUAUUAUUCGAUAAAGAAAGCUCACUGCUCCUAGUGACACCUGCCCUAUCAUUCAAGUUUUCAUUCCUGCCUUCUCUAAAAUUCUCUUAACCGUCAUAUUGAAAUUAAUUACCGAACGGACAAAGCUAAAACUACAUAUCUGUAUAAUCCAAAAUUCCAAACAGGCUGAAGAUUGAACUUCAACUAUAUCACCGUGUCUGCAAGUCUUUUACCAACAAGCUAUGCAACAACGUAAUGUGAAAUGAAUUACCGCCCUAACAGUGAUCUGUAAAUGCAUAUACAUUCAAAAGAAAAAACAACGAAAAUGGAUCCGCAAACACAUUGAUUCAAUCACAACAGUAAAAAUACUUCUCAAUUUUUACCACAAAACAAACACACUGAAAAAAUUAAUUAAAUUUAAAUAAGAACAGUGUACAGCAAUAAGAAAUUAGAUGGUACCGUAUCUUUGGAGUGUUUGAUCGUCCUUCAAGAUCCGGCCCUUGUAAAUCAGCCCUGCUGAUUGGCUGGAAUUCAUAACAAUGGCAUGUUCAGCCAUUGAAACAUUCAGAAAAGCUUAAACGCAAGAAAAUAUGGAAAUGGCAGAAGAAAAGAGAGGAAGAGAGAAAGAGAAAGAAAUGAAACUUGCAAAAGAAGCUGUUGUAUUAACCGAACAAAAACUAAACAAUUACAUCCUUAUCUAGCCUUAUAUAUAGCAGCUGUCCAAACUUAAUGACUAAGUAAUCUAAUAUCCUUCAUUUAGCUGAUGUGUACAAAUACAUAAGAAAAGACUCAAAUAUCCCAUACAUUGUUAAUACUCCCCCUCAAUCUCAGCUGGGAUAUCCCAGCCUGAGAUUGGAACAAUGAUGAACAAACAAAGGACUAUGUAAUCCUUUAGUUAAUACAUCUGCAAUCUGAGCCUCAGUGGGAAUAUACUGUACCUGCAGAUCACCUUUUUGCACCCGUUCACGAACAAAAUGAAAAUCAGUAUCUAAGUGUUUAAUCCUAGUAUGAAAAACUGGAUUAGAACACAAUGCCAAUGUAGAAAGAUUAUCACAAUGUACCAAUGGUACUGAAGGAAGAAACAUAUGGAGAUCCUUAAGAACUAAUCGGAUCCAAGCCACAUCCGCUGCUGCAUUAGCUAAGGCUUUAUAUUCAGCCUCCGUUGAGCUUCGAGAAACACUGCCUUGUUUCUUAGACUGCCAGGACACAGGAUUUGAGCCCAGAAAAACAAUGUAACCAGUAGUCGACCUCCUUGUAUUUAUAUCCGCUGCCCAAUCAGCAUCACUAUAUGCAAAUAAAUCCAUAUUGUCUUGAGCAGAGUAAGUUAAUCCACAUUGCCAUGUACCCUUCAAAUACCGUAGGAUUCUUUUAACGAGACAGAAAUGAGCUUCAGUUGGAGUUGUCAUGAAUUGGCAAGCAUAGUUGACAGCAUAUGCAAUAUCAGGCCGUGUAAAGGUGAGAUAUUGCAAUGCACCAACUAAACUUCGGUAAACUGUGGGAUCAGCUAAUGGUUCUCCUUCAUCUUUGAGCAAUUGAGUAUGAGGUUUACUUGGAGUGGAACAAGGUCUGCAAUUUAUCAUGACGGCCUUAUUGAGUAGAUCAGUCACAUACUUGGAUUGAUUAAUGAAUAUAUCACCAUUGUCUUUGUACGUGAUUUGAAGUCCCAAAAAAUAAGUAAGCUUGCCCAUGUCCUUCAUAUAAAAAACACUACUCAAUUCAGCAAUCACUUGUUGAAUAAGGGAGAAUGAAGAACCUGUGAUGAUGAUAUCAUCCACAUAUAACAACAAGAUCACUACAUCAGUCCCACACACUUUCACAAACAAACUAGGAUCUGAAUGAGAUGACUGAAAGUCUAAGGAAGGUAAAUAACUUGUAAACUUGGCAUUCCAAGCCCUUGGAGCCUGUUUAAGACCAUAUAAUGACUUGAGAAGCUUGCACACAUGAUUAGGAUGCUGAGGAUCUUGAAAACCCUGAGGUUGUUUCAUAAAAACUUCUUCUUGUAAUUCACCAUGAAGAAAAGCGUUCUUUACAUCCAACUGCCGCAAUUCCCAUCCUUUCAUAGCAGCAAGAGACAAAACCAGCCUCACUGUUGUAUGUCUUACCACCGGACUAAAAGUCUCAUCAUAGUCCAAUCCUUGUUCCUGACUAUAACCCUGAGCAACUAAACGUGCCUUUAUAUCUGGACACUUUGCCAUCUUGAUCCUUCUUGAUCUUGUACACCCAUUUGCUCCCUAUCACAUUUCUGUCAACCGGAGGUGGUACUAGCUCCCAAGUACCUUGUUUUUGUAAAGACACAAAUUCUUCCUUCAUAGCAUUCCUCUAAUCCUCAGAAAGAACAGCUUGUUUAUAAUGAGAAGGUUCUAGUGAAUCAUGAAUGUCAAGAAUCGCAGUAAAUCCACAAAACAUCACAUCAUCAUCAUGAGAAGAAGGAAAAACUGAAGUAUUUGAUGCAGAAGCAUAAUAAGUAGAGUAGUCUUUUCGCUGCAGGACUCCACUUUUUAAACGUGUAACCAUAUUAUGCUCAGAAGAAGUAUGCAUAACAGGAGACGGAGAUACCUGAUGUUGGUCAUGGUCAGGGACAUGCCACACUUGAGAGGAAGAAGGAGAGUGAUGUAGUGUAGUAGCUUGUAUAUCUGAUGAAGAAUGCAGAACUGGACUGGAAGAGAGACUUGAAGGUUGAGAUGCCAUAGAAUGUAUAUCCACAGAUUGACCAUUCCCACCAAUUUCUUCUCUUGUUUGGCAGAUGAAUUAGGAACCACAAUAUAUCUCAUUCUUGGUAACUCUUGCUGUGAGGAUACAGCCAGUGAAGAAAUAUUGACAGAAGAAGAAUGAGACUUCUUAAAAGGAAACACAUUCUCAUCAUAGAUGACAUGCCUUGAUAACAGUAACCUUUGUGUAGUCCGAUUAUAGCACAACACUCCCUUAUAUCCAAUAGAGUAGCCCACAAACACACAUUCAUCACUUCUAGCUUGUAACUUAUUGACAUUAUAAGGUCUUAAGUAGGGAUAGACUGCAGUACCAAAAAUCUUUAAGGAACUCAGAGAUGGAGAUUGGGCAAACAAUUUAACAUAGGGAGACACCAUUUCUAAGUUUUGGCAAGGCAUUCUAUUGAUUAAAAACACUGCAUGACUACAAGCAUGAAACCAAAACUGUUGAGGUAACCUUGCAGCACUCAAUAAUGUCACAGUAGUCUCAAUAAUAUGCCUGUGUUUCCGUUCUGCCAACCCAUUCUGUUGAGGGGUAUAAGGACACGAGACAAGAUGUAAAAUCCCAUUUGUAUCCAGAAAUUGUUUAAACAACCUACUCAUAUACUCUCCUCCGCCAUCAGAUUGCAGUGUCUUAAUACUGCAUUUGAAAUGAUUCAUAACAAAUGCAUGAAACUUAACAAACACAGUAUAGACAUCAGAUUUAUUAACAAGAGGAAAGAUCCAAGUGAACCUUGUGCAUUCAUCUACGAAAAUUACAUAAUAUCUGUAACCUUCAAGAGAUACAGUGGGUGAAGGUCCCCAUACAUCAGUAUGCACUUUCUCAAAAGGAACACUAGACUUAUUACAUUUAGAAGGAAAUGGUUGUCUAGUCAUCUUACCCCUAAUACAAGCUGAACAUAAAUGUGGACUUUUAUCUAAAGAGACAGAUAUCUGAGACUCCUUCAACAUUUUCAACUGAACUUCAUUAGUAGGAUGCCCAAGUCGUUGAUGCCAAAUUGAAGUCUUCACAAGCUGUCCCAAAAGAGCUUGAGGUGUAUUAUUUACUAGCUGAGAAUAGUUGAAAAACUGCUGCUGAGGAAUAUAAUACAAGCCACUACUACUAUUCUUUCCUCUCAGUAGAAUUUUCUUUGUUGCCUUGUCCUGCACCCAGAAACCAAAUUCAUCAAGUAUAACAUAGCAGUGAUUAUCUUUGCAUAGUCUAUACACAGAUAAUAAACUAGCUGCUAAUUGAGGAACAUGUAAAACCAUUUGAAGAGUUAAAUGUUUGGAAGAAGUUAAAAGAGAACCCGAACCAGUAUUGGCUACAGGUAAACCUUCUCCAUUGCCCACUGUGAUCCUGUCAGUGCCUUCAAAAGGAGUAAUAAGUGUCAAAUGAUCCAGACCAGCUGUCAUAUGAUGUGUAGCCCCUGUGUCGAGCACCCAAUUUUGUUGUGAAGAAGAAUGAAGGUUUGGCUGAGCUUGUGCAGUGAAAGCAUUGAAAGAAGAAGGAGGUUGAGCACCUUGAUAUGCAUAAUUUCCUCGAUGAUAACAAUUGAGAGCAGAAUGACCUUUCUUCCCACAGAUUUGACACUCCAGAAUUGGAGGAACAGAGCUUGAGCUGGCAUCAUACCUUGAAUAGCAAUUAGUAGCUGUGUGGCCUCUUUUAUGACAUAUUUGACAUUCAGGAAUCAAUGUUGGCUUAAAACCACUAUUUCCAUUCCAAUUCUGCCAAUUUGAACCUCUUUUAGAACUACCAGAAAAACCAUUGCUGUUUGAUCCUCCAGGAAAACCAUUGCUGUUUGAUCCUCCAGAAAAACCAUUGUUGUUUGAUCCUCCAGGAAAACCAUUGGAAUUGCCUGAGAAUCUGCCAUUAUUAUUCCCAUUGUAUCUGGACCUAUUGUUAAAUCUUCCAUUGUUUUCGCCAUUAUGCUGAUAUCCUCUAUUAUUCUGAAAAUUCCCAUUUCCUUGUUGAUGAAAAUGAGGUAGAGAAGCCUGAGAAACAAUGCCACCAGUGGGUCUAUGAGCAGUACUUUGAGAGGAAUUAGUAGCUUCAGUGACAAAACCAUAGCCACCAGAGAAGUACUGAGAAGCUCCUUGAUCUUGUGAGGAAUGAGCAUUAGAGGAUUCUCCUUGACAAUACAUGGCUAACAUAGGAAAAUGCAAAGUAGACUGUGAAUCUUCAGCUGUUCACUCAGCAGCCAACAAUUGUGCUCGAAAUUCUUUUAAAGAAAUAGGAGUUUCACGAGCCACAAUCACAGUACGAAUCAUAUUAAACUCAGCCGGUAAACUCGCAAGAGCAGCAACAAUAAGGUCAUUCUCAGACACUACUUCACCUGCUGCCAUAAGCUGAUCUUUAAGAGCCUUAAGCCUCAACAUAUAUUUUUCAACACUAUCAGACCCUUUCUUGAUAGUCAACAAUUCAGUUUUGAGAUGAUUCACCCUUGCUCUGGAAACAGUAGCAUAUCUGUCCUGCAAAUUCAUCCAAGCUUCAUGUGCAGUUUUACAACCUACAACAUAUUCCACAGCCUCAUCACCUAAUGUAGCAAGAAUAAGACUAACAAGAGCUCUGUCUUGUUUAAUCCAUUCCUUGUAUGCUGCUAUAAUCUCAGUAGUGAUACCAUUAGCUUCAGUGAACACAAACUUCGGUGGACAAACCGAUGUGCCAUCAAAGUGAUCAAACAAAUCAUAUCCCUCAAGCACCGAGCGAAAUUGAAAAGACCACUUGACAAAAUUAUCAUCUUGCAGCCGAAUGGUGAACAUACCAAGAAGACUUUCCACUUUGAGUGUAUUCAUAUCGAGACUUCAACAAGAACCAAGAAAGAAAACAAACAGAAGCAAAUCACAAAGAAUCAGCAAUUCAGAAAGAAUCAAGGCUUCGUGCCCAAACAAUCAGCAAUUUAGAAAGAAUCAAGGCUUCGUGCCCAAACUGUAAGGAGCUUCGUGCUAAAAAACUCAUCAAGUAAGCAAACCACAGUAGCUGCGUGUGCAAGCAAUCAACAAUUCAGAAAGAAUCAAGGCUUCGUGCCCAAACAAUCAGCAAGUCAGAAAGAAUCAAGGCUUCGUGCCCAAACUGUAAGGAGCUUCGUGCUAAAAAACUCAUCAAGGAAGCAAACCACAAUAGGCUUCGUGCCCUAACAUUUAUCACAUCAACAAAUCAUAGAUCCAUAGCUAUACCAUGAAAUUAAACACAAAGUCCAGAAAAUAUUGACCAGAAACCACCAGAAUCAAGCGGAUAUAACCUGAGUCGGCACCGACGAACCGAAACCAAAACUUCGUCGACAAAAUCAGAAACCACCGCCUCGACAAAAUCAGAAACCACCGCCUCUCAGAUCCGUCGAAAAAAAACAAACUCCAAAGCUUAAUGAGCCCGUCAGGAUCCUCUUCACAGAUUCACCAAACCUAAGCUUUUGAUACCAUCAUAACAAUGGCAUGUUCAGCCAUUGAAACAUUCAGAAAAGCUUAAACGCAAGAAAAUAUGGAAAUGGCAGAAGAAAAGAGAGGAAGAGAGAAAGAGAAAGAAAUGAAACUUGCAAAAGAAGCUGUUGUAUUAACCGAACAAAAACUAAACAAUUACAUCCUUAUCUAGCCUUAUAUAUAGCAGCUGUCCAAACUUAAUGACUAAGUAAUCUAAUAUCCUUCAUUUAGCUGAUGUGUACAAAUACAUAAGAAAAGACUCAAAUACCCCAUACAUUGUUAAUAGGAAUGUCGCAUUUCCGCGAGAGAACUUCCUUGAAUGAUCCAACGGUGGAUUCGAGGCCAAUGUGAACACUGAACUUUGAGCCAUUGGAAACAACUCGUGGAUUUCGAUAUUGUAAUUUUAGUUCUACUUUGAUUUCUCGAGGUCGUUUCAAGACGAAGAAGUUCUAAAUGUCGUUCCAAUUUUUAUUUGAGUGGAUAUAAGGUCAAAUAUUUUCUUCUCAAUCGUUUAUAGAUAUAAAUUAUCAUCGUCGUUGUAUGUGAAAAUUGAAUCUCGAAUUCGAUUUACUAAAAUCUACACAGGCAUCAUAGAGGCACCAAGUCCAUCUCUUGGUUAGACAGCGCCAACAAAAACCAAAUUAAUGACCGAGGCAAAAUCAACCAUCAUGACAUCUCUCAUGGUGAUGUUUUGAUUUCUUUUUUAACAUAAAUUGUCAUAAUACAAAUAAUUAGAUACUUAACAAAAAAUUCAAUCACUUAUAUUAUGAACUUGUGUACCGAUCCGAUGUUCGGGCACAACCAAAAAAAUUUCUCCUGUGUGUCCUUGUUAAUGUGACAAGUAGGCUUGAAGGGAAAAAAGAAAAAAACAAAACAGAGACAAGUAAGCAUUUUUAUCUAUAAAACUCAAAGUGGGACCCGCUCAAAACAACAGAAGAAGAUGAGGCCGUGACUACACACGGUCACAACUAGGUGGUCUUAUCACUAGGGGUUAUAAGAAAAGCCAAAGAAAAUUGCACGAAAAAAUUGCUGCCGCCGCUGCUGCUGCAACGCACAAAAAAGGUGCCAGAAAGCGCGCCAUGAUAUUCAUCUUCCAUGGCAAUAAUAUCUCCGCGAGGCUCCAACAAGUUCUUGCUAUCUCGCCUCGGAGCCCUAAUCACGCAACAGGUCCCUCUCUAACCUUUUACUUUCUUUGAGGCAUUUCGUCGAACAUUUGGUGACUGGUGUUUCCUCAAUGCGCAGAAAUUCGUCCACGCAUUGUCUGAGGGAGGAUUGCAAUCUCAGGUUCACCCUAAAAUGGUCCCGGACCAAGGUAUAUGCAUUAAAGUCUUUGCAUUUGUGUACUUCGAAAGGAAAGGUUGAUUUUUGUUAUGGCUAUUAGCCAUUGGCGUUGUGUAUAAUAUGCACUUUUGUUCAUUUAUGAAUUGGGUAGGUUUCAUUGAUAUGUAUAAGUGGAAAAAGAUCGACGCGAGGGCCCUCGGGAUAAAGCCCUCCAUGAUUUCGCAUCCCUCUUGGAUUGUGUUGAAACUUCUUCAGGCUGAAGGUAACAUCAUGUUCCAUUUUCGCUCUCAUUGUUGAUGUACGUAUGUUGGUGGUGUUGUGUGUUUGUGUAGAGCAAAGCAUUUAUAUGCCUCACUGAAGUCGAAUAACCAUCGGAAUUAUUCAGUUAAAGGGUUUAUUUUGACUUGGCUGAAUUGGAUGGUUUGCUUAUCUUUUAAUGUAUGCAGGGUUUGAGGCCUACUUAGUGGGUGGAUGUGUUAGAGACUUAAUCCUUAAAAGGAUACCUAAAGACUUCGAUGUGAUCACUACAGCUAAUCUUAAAGAGGUUCGUAACGCUUUAUUUUAAAGUGUUCUUCUCAACUCCUGUAGAUUGUGAUACGUUGCUAGGUGGGGAAAUUCAGACUCCUUUGGUUGUUUAACCUAUUACAGAUCAAGAAGAAAUUUCAUCGUGCAGAUGUUGUUGGGCAACGGUUUCCUAUAUGCAGGGUGCAUGUUAAAGGCACAGUCAUUGAGGUUGGUUGGUGAACCUUGUAGUUACAGUAUCUUCUUGUGUGACUAUUUUUAUUGUUCGAGAUAUCAUUUUCUUAUUCAAAUAAUAUGCAGCUGUGUCAACUUGCCUUUAGUAUCCUAUCUUGAUGUUCCUUUGUUCUUCCUUUGACUCCUGUAACAGGUAUCAAGUUUUGAAACAGUGGCAAGAGAUGCAGGAAAAAAGAAAGAGAAACAGAAAGAUAAUUUAUCUUUUAGGCCGCCUGGCUGUGAUAAGAAAGAUUUCAUCCGUUGGAAAAACAGCAUGCAUCGGGACUUCACUAUUAACAGGUACCCUUAUCUUCCAUUUUUCACCAUACCAUGUGCUAUGCUAGCAAUAUAAAUACUCUCUCUAUUCAUUUGACCUGUGUAAUUCAAUUUCAUUUGACAACACAAUUUGUGAAAUUGUGCAAGCAGUUUAUUCUUUGAUCCUUUUACGAAUAAGGUCUAUGAUUAUGCCAAUGGAAUGGCGGACUUAAGGCACUUAAAGGUAACUCCCAAUUUCCCUUUGUUUAUGGAAAUCUUUACCUUCCUAUAAAAUAGUUUUUUAUUUUUUAUUUUAUUUUUUUUAUUUUUUUUACAAUAUGUCAUCUGAAGUUUAUUAAGAUGAAUUAUUUUUUGGGUGGCAUGGACUUAGCUACGGACACUAGCCCCUGCCAAGUUGUCGUUUGAAGAGGAUUGUGGUAGGUGUUCCCAUCUUUUAUGCAAACUUUUGAUACCAUUUGGAUGCAACAGCUAAGUGAGUGUAUCAGAUUAACAUAACUUGUUAAUAUUCAAACUCUCUGAUACAGCAAGAAUCUUGAGGGGCUUAAGAAUUGCUGCUCGUCUGAGCUUGUCAAUUUCAAAAGAAACUGAGACUGCAAUGCAUAAGCUUUCUUCAUCCAUUUUGAGUUUGAGUAAGGUACCUCUGAAACUACUUUAUAUGCAUAAGAUUGCAUGCUGGCUCGGUUAUUUUCCAUUUGUCUUUGGGAGGGAUAAUGUCCGAUACCACUUGUUCAAACUGACAUUCUUUGUCCAUUUAGUUCAGAAAAAUGAUGGAGAUGGACUAUAUGCUUUCUUAUGGAGCUGCUGAGGCGUCACUAUGUUUGCUGUGGAGAUUUGAUCUGAUCAGAAUUCUGUUUCCCUUUCAUGUACGUGCUCGUUUCAUAUUAUAAAAUAAUCCUUUAUCGUAAUGAAACAUAUAUUACAAAUAAUUUUUUCAUUACAAAUGAAUCCAUAGUCAUUAGGUGUAUAUCUGACACAAACUGGUAUUGUAGGCAGCAUACUUUGACCAACAGAGUGAAAACUUGAAAGGCGCUAAGAGUUCCUCGAUGUUGAUGGUAAGUAAAACACUACAAAAAGUUUCUUCAAUUUUAAUAUUUAACCAAAAGAGAUUUCUUAAAUCCAUAAUACUGGAGAGAUUGUGCAAGAAAAAAAAAAGGAUUUAUAAAAAGCAAUGAUUUGAAAACUACAGAAGGAUCUUUUUGCAUCCCAAAUCAAGUGUGGUUUGAUUCAGUAACUUUGCAAGAGCUCGAAGAGGAAUCAUUUACAGAGAUACUUCUAAGUUGGAUCCUUCAAUAUUAUGAUCUAGAAGGGUCUCAGUUUUCUUUUGUCAAAUCAAAAAUCAAAUAAUUAUUUUUUAUUAUGUUAAACUGUUAAUAAUGUUAGAACUUUUAUCACGUCUCCCAGUUAGAAUUUAUGGAACAAGAGCUAUUGAGAGUUUUCUAAUUUUUCUUCCACGAUAGUUUUGUGUGUGCUUGUGGUAUUUGUUUUUGUAUUACUCAAAUGUAGGGAUCUAGUCUUCGACUCUUUUUCAUUUGAUGUGGAGCCAAGUUAAUUUAUGCCCAACCCAGCAAUUUAGUUAGAUUUUGAUUUUUCUUUCUUUUUGAACAGAAAUUAUUCUCGAAUAUGGAUAAAGUGGUUAGCUGUGAUCGGCCUGGUCACUGCUCUUUAUGGUGAGAUAAACGUUUAUUGUUUCUGGUAGAUUAUAAUAUCCAACACAUCGUGGCAUUUCAUUUUAUUUAUUUUUAUAAACUUGGUUCUGAGCACUAGUUUAAAUUUUUUUAACCAGUUUAUAUGACAAUGAGCGUAUGCUAGCUGUGCCCUGUGCCUUGCACCUAGUCACAUUGGGAAUUCAGUCUUUUAUAAAUAGUUGGGUUUCAGGUUUCUAUAUGUAAUGCAGAUGCCACUGCUGAUUAAUUGUCUUUAUUACAGGGUCGGACUGUUGGCAUUUCACCUGGCGCUAGUCAAUAAUCCACAAGAUGCUCUUGUAGUGUUGACUUUUGCUUCCGUUCUGUAUCAUGAAGAAUGGGAAGAAGGUGUUAAAUUUUCCAGAGACAAUGCUGCGUCGAUAGUUAAAUAUGUACCUGAGAUCUCAGGCUCAUGUGGAUUUAAAUCAGAGGAAGAACUUGCAAAACAAGUUUCCAAGUUAGCUUCUUUUAUGCUAGAUUAUAUUGCCGCUUUAGCUGCAACAAAAGAUCCUGAUGAAUCAAUGUCGAGAUAUCCUGUUUUGCCAUUCUCUGAGUUGGUAAGUACGUCUAAUUGAUAUUCAAUUCCUGAGCUGGAAUUUGAUGCGUCUCUCAUGUCACUUAUCUGCAUUUUUCUCAUCCCAUCAUGAAACGCUGUUGUUAUGGAAUUUGGUAUUAAUAUUCAACCGCAUUGCACGAUUUUUAUAUGAAUUUUUGUUCCCUUUUACUGUUUUACCAUAUCAUGCCUUGAUUUUGUAUCACAGGAGUAUGUCACAAAUCCUUGGACUAUAGACUAAGUGUUACCCUUUACAGUUUUACCAUAUCACGCCUACUAUGUGCUGUUACUGUCAAAUCCCAUUUAGCAGUUAAUUUUAAAAUAUUUGUUUUUGUGCUUGUAUAAAGUUUUUCUUUGGUUGGAGUACUUAUAUAUUGUUUCAUAUGUGCCUAAUUCGAUUAAAACAAAUGUGAUUCGUUCUCAGGCCUUUUUACCUAAGAAUAUGGCUAAACAUGUUGCUGCAAUUGUUGAAGUCCUGACCAACGACAUCGAAUAUUACAAUCAAGGAAGAAAGAAUUUUGAGAUUGAUUACUACUCACUUGGGAAAGGUCAUAUGCGCGAGAUUAGGUUUAUUUUAGGAAAAGUUAUUCUAGAAACCAUGGACAGUGGGAUUUUGAGAGCAAAGGAAGUCGUUAAGGGGAAGGAGGACAACUACCACCUGCAGCAGGAUAUCAUUGACAAAAAUUUCACUAAGGGUAGAAAACGUGCAACUGAUGCCCCCGAAAUAAAACAAGAGUUGUCCAAGAAACAUAGGGUGAAAGUAGUUUUUGAUCCAGAUAUGGCUACCGAUAAUCAAGAGGUUGUCGAAACAACUCAAUCACCACAGAAGGAGUUGAUUUCAGUUCUGGGAAAUAUGUUAGAGAAGAAAAAACGUCAGUUACCAGAAGAGGUGAUUGAGAAAAAGCAAGAGCUUUCUGAGAAUGAUAAGUUCCAGAUGAAGGAGAAGAAGAAUACUAAGAAGUGUAAUUCAAGUCAGGAGGAGACUAUUAAGCUGGAAACUAUGUUAGAGCAGAGAGGGUAUCCUGUAACACGGAAAGUAAUCCAUGAGAAGGUUACAGAACUCAGACAAGAAACAGAUGAGGAGAGAGGCAGUCCACCUCCCCUAUCUUGUAUUUUCAGCAGGGGUGUUGAGGAGAUUCAGAAACGCAAACAAGUAGCAGAAAAGCCAAUAUCCAGUCUCCGUCGACUAUCUAGUCUCUUCAAGUGAAACUAUUGUCGUAAACUAACAAAAAUGACAUGUAUGUUUAUUGUGCCUUCCCCUCUCUCCCUCCCUCUCUCUCACCCACAGUUUUAAUGAAUAAUUCUUCCUUUUCUUUCUGCAUUGCAGGUGUAUCCAUAAAAAGUCCAAGGAGCUGGAGGAAAAGUCCUCAGACAUACCCUCAGGUUUUGCACAUUGUAACAUUUUGCUUCCCCGUCCUCAUUUCCCUUUCAUUUAUCGGUUUUAACAAUUUUGGCCUUAGGCAUUACGAAAUCAUGUUGGUUAAGGACCAGUGUGAAAUAGUUUGUGCUACAAAAUUUGUAUUUAUUUAAUGAUUCUUUCGAGGUUCAAGGAUCGUCUUUUGGAUGCGUAUGGGUGACCCUUAACAAUGUUGGAAAGCUUUAGGUAUCGCCAAUAUUUUUUCUACUCUGCACAGCCCUGUUUAAUUUCGGUUCGAUUGCAUGAAUCAAAGGAGGAUCAAUCGACAAAAAAGAAUGUGUUUGCAGGAGAGAAGGCUGGUGUGUAAAACUCAUUUUGCUUUUGAAAUUUAACUUCAAAUGGCUGGAUCUCAUGUUUGCAAAUUGAGUAACAUUUGAGGUAUCGAAAUAAAUGUUCCAACUUUGGAUUCUGACUUGUGUAGUUAUUUUGUAAUAGACCUGGCAAUUUUAUGCACAACACAUUAACUCAAAAUGAAACAACAUAGAAAAAAUAAGUUUUGGAUCGGGAUUAAAAGGUCAGGUGUUUUAUCGGGUCAACCCAUUAAGCACUCGUUAAAUCACAAGUUGAUUCAAGUCUACUUGUUGUUAAUGUUUAAUAAUUUAGUAUGAAGUUUUAUUUAUUUGAUUAUAUAUUGAAGUAAUAUAUUGUCCUUAACGGGUAUAAUGGGUUGGAUUAAUUUUAACGGUUCGGCUUAGGGUUUGAAGUUUAAAACAUGUCACUAUAACAUAUUUGACAUAACCCGAUCCAUUACGAUAACAAGUUUGACACAAAAACUACAUGAACACAACAAACAUGACCUGUUUGUUACGUCUAUUCAUAGUGAUUGAACUAUUUCACGUUGUGCCCCUCAAAUUAUUUCUUUUUUCUUUUUUAUUUACAAAAUCUAUACUAAACUAAUCUAAAUUAUAUGGAUUUUUUUUAUACGACAACAUAUUUACAUUAAGGUUUAAUAGAAUAAAUUGGAAUCUAGUUCUUCAUUUACCAAAUUCAAACUAAAAUCUAUCACUUAUAAAUGAAGAAAAAUUUGAACUUAAUUGCACAAAUUAAAAAGACAAUAUUCCAUUUCAACGGUUCCAAUUUGCCAAAAUUUAUGUUACUUCGCAUGUAGGCCCACCGGUACAGUAAUGCGGGGCCACAUGGAAUAAUAAAAAAAAUCAGUACGCUCUCAAUCUCUUAUUUCGCUAUUAAUUGUUUGGUUAAUAUUUGUUUUAACGCUUUCACUAUUAUGUUAUCUUGUUACCUAUUUCCCCUAUUUUGUCUUGGAUUUCAUAUUAAUGGAAAGUAUUUAAUGUGCCACCAAAAUGUUCACAUCAUAAUUUCUUAUAGCUCAUUCAUUAAUCUGAGCAAGAUACGAAAAACUAACGUCAUUGCUGACACACUCUUUAAUACAGUUGGGUUUCAUCUCAGCUACAAUAGUAGAGCCCUUUUGCAAUGAUCUCGUGUGUCAGCAAUUAUGGCAGUUGUUCAAACUUCAUUAAAUGUAAUUUUGUCUACCAAAUCGUUAUAAUGUUAAUUGUCCAAAUUAAUCUAGCAAAAAUUACCGUUAACGCUUUUACAAGCAUUUCUCGCGGUCUCUUAAGUUAUUCAUGCUCCUACAAACCUUCCCGCGAUUCUUCUCACUCUCCCCCGUUUUGUCGCGAGAGUACAUUGAGAACGUAAAUAACGUUCUAAUAAAAGAAACACUCGCAUUAGCUGUUUAGGAUCGUAAAUUUCAUAAUCAAAUCACAUAAAACAAUCACGCUACCUUUGCAAUUAGAAACUUUUGCCCAGUAGACAUUUAAGCAAUGUUAAAUAUUGUAAUUUGGGAAUAAAUACAAAUUUAUAUUUAAACAAGAAAAUAUUCUGUCCACUCAGCAAAUAAGAAGUCACACAUAAAUUUGGUUAGAUGCUAAAAUAUCCAAAAUUUAUUAAUCUUCUAAAUAUAACCAAUCUAAUUAGGUAACCAUUAUCCUAAUUUGAUUUAAUAUUACCCAAAAAAAAAAUCGAAGGAUCCGGUGGGCAGGAGCGCAUAGGAUUUUUGAGUCCAACCCCCAAUCAUUGGAUAAUUGAUUAAAAAAAAAAAAAAAAAAAAAAAAAAAAAAGCGAAAAGAAUUUGAUUAAUUUGAAUCCCACAGGCCAACACCACACGCGAAGGUGACCGUUGUUAGGACAUAGGGGUAUUACAUAGAAAGUCAUCUCAAUCCGCAUGAUCCAACGGUCACUUUUCACUAGCCGUUGUAUUUGAAAAAAGCAGAAGGGUAUUUUUUGGGGUCCUCUCUCUCUCUCUCUCUCUCUCUCUCUGGAGACAAAUACCCACUGAUUUGCCACUUUAUUAUGUAGCUCAGCUCUGUCUUUAUUUCUACUACUACUCACUGUAUUUUGCAGAGAUUUCAGUCCCUCUCUCUCUCUCUUUCUCUCUCUUUCUCUCUCUCUCUAGAUGCUCUCUUGGGGAGAAGAAAUUUAGGGUGACUCAGAAUUCUUAGCCUCUUUGCUCACUUGGGUUUGAUUUGGAUUGAUUGAUUUUGAUUGUUCCUUCAGGAAAUCAUAAGCUUAAAAUGGUUAUUUCUGAUGAGAACCGUUCUAAUCUGAUCAGACCCACAAAUAUGCAAGGUGAAUGAAGUCACUGAAAUGGGGUUGAUUUUUUAAAUUCUGGGCAUCUGGAUUUUGAGAUUUUGAUGAUGAAAAUUUCAAAAGAUUCUGACUUUUUUUCGCUUUUCGAACGAAAUGUAGGACUAGAGGUGGGUACCGGCAAGCUUGGACAGCAACAGAUUAGGCAGACCAGGAGGGCUUUAGGAGUCAUUAAUCAGAGCUUGUUAGGAGCUCCAGCAUACCCUUGUGUUGUUAACAAGAGACCCUUUACACAGUAAUUUUCAAACACUUUUUCGCCUUUCGAAUUUUUCAUCUUUCACGGGCAUGGUUUCUUGAAUUUUAUUUAUUUAUUUAGUUUUUUGUUUUUUGUUAAUCUCAGAAAACAUGAAGUUUAUGAGAAGAAGCAGGCAGAUCCAGCGCACAGACCAAUCACCAGGUUUGAAUUUUACCCUUCUAUUGUUUUUUCAUUUUUUAUUUCAAUUGUUGGGUUAUGAAAUUCAAAAUUUUGAUCUUUAGAUCUUAAACCAACAUGAAACUCAAAUUUUUAAGACGUAUUUAACCAAAAUUUGAUGUUGAUUUGCGCUUUUUACAGGAAGUUUGCUGCACAAAUUAGCAAUCAGCCAUCUUGUUUCGAGGUACCGCUAUCCGCAUCCAGAUUGAUUUUUAACUUUUCUUAUCUGUUUUACCUUAUUUGAUUGAUGGGGUUGGAGCGAUGUAUAUCAUCAGGAAGUCAAGAUCCCCAAGGUGCCAAACAAAGCAGAUGAAACCACCAACUCAGCUGGUUUUGGAGAUUGCAUUAGUAUAUUCGUAGACGAAGAAUUCAAGUCCCCUGAAGGCCAAGCAGAAGCAAUGACGGAGGACGCGGAGCCCAUGUUCUUAGAGCAAGAAGAAUCAACGCUGGAAGAAGCAAAUGAUACGGUAUAUCUCUUUGUAAAACAUGUCAAGUUUUUGGAUUGUGUUUUGUUGGAAAACCCCAAUUUUCUGAUUUCACAUAAAAAUUUGAUCUUUUAGAAAGAGGUUGAAAUGGAGGACAUUGUGGAAGAGCCUCUUGUGGAUAUUGACGGUGGCGAUUUGAAGAAUCCGCUUGCAGUUGUAGACUAUGUUGAGGAUCUCUAUGCUUACUAUAGGAGAAUGGAGGUGAAAAUUGCUCACUGUUUUGUUACUGAACAAUUAGAUAUAGCAAAUUCAUUGUCAAAUGAUCAUAGAUAUGAAAUUAUUCAAAUGUCACGAGAUAUAUGACCUGAUUGAUUCGCGCGAAAGCGCGCUGAAGAAGUUCUUUGCGCGCCGCGAAGAACUUGCUACGUGCCUGUACUGAUUUAGUAAAUUACCUGUCACAUUUAGAGUCGCAUAUCUCGAUUCUCGAAUGACAAGUAAAUCUGUUGUGGAUCUCUUUCCAUGGCCAUUACAGAAUACCAAUAUCUGCAAAUGGAAAGCAUUUAUGUCAGGUCUUAAAUUUUCGUCUAACAAAUUGUUUGGCAUUUGCAUUUUAAUCGACAUCAGAACAUUUUCUGUAAAAUGUUUGUACAUUUUUGUCACAGAGAAUUUGAUUUGCUUCCUAUUUAGCAAAAACCUGAAGUUUUCCUUUUUCGACGAAAAACAAAAGUGGGAAAACAUCCAUUUCAACCGAAGUGUGACUAACUUAACCAACAUUCAUAUUUGCAGGGUUUUAGCUGUGCCCCACCUAACUAUUUGGAGCAACAAUGUGACAUCAAUGAGAAGAUGAGGGCUAUACUAAUUGACUGGCUUAUUGAGGUAUACUUUUCUUUCCUAAAUCGAUCAAUUUUCCGAAAAUGGCAAAUGCUUUCUCUUGAUUAAUCAUCAAUGCAGUUCGUUUCAAUCAACCUCUUUUACAAUUACAAAUGACUGAUCUGUUUAUUCGAAUCAACAGGUGCACGACAAGUUUGAGCUACUGAAGGAGACAUUGUUUCUUACUGUGAACCUUAUAGACAGAUUUUUAUCCCAGCAUACGGUUGUAAGAAAGAAACUUCAGUUGGUUGGUCUGGUUGCCAUGCUUUUAGCAUGCAAAUAUGAGGAGGUUUCUGUUCCCAUCGUCGGGGAUUUGAUUCUUAUAUCGGAUAAAGCUUACACAAGGAAUGAUGUCCUGGAAAUGGUAAUUCAUUGUUCUUUCUUGGGCGAGGGCGAUUAUGCUUAACUUGUUGAAGUUGUAGUAGUUCUAAUUGUCCUUCCCCUUCUGCUGCAGGAGAACCUGAUGCUCAACACAUUGCAGUUUAACAUGUCAGUUCCAACGCCGUAUGUUUUCAUGAAUAGAUUCCUCAAGGCUGCUCAAUGCGACAAGAAGGUCAGUAGUGAUUCAUCGAAGAUCAAAACAUUUUUCUCACGCCAGCGAGAUUCUGAUUCCUUUUUCUUUAAUGUCAUCAAAACAGAUUGAACUCCUAUCGUUCUUCUUAAUCGAGCUCUCUCUCGUGGAGUACCAAAUGCUUAAGUUUCCACCAUCCCUGUUAGCUGCUGCUGCAGUCUACGCUGCUCAAUGCACUCUUCACGGGUUCAAGCAAUGGAGCAGCACCUGCGAGUGGCACACAAACUACUCAGAAGAACAGCUCUUGUGAGUACUUUCACUUAUUAGUUUCUCCCAUCUAUAAAACAAUAACUAAAUCUUAAUCAGUCGAAGAGUUUACUAAUAACUCAGUAAUUUGAUGGUAACAGAGAAUGCUCAAGUUUGAUGGUGGGAUUCCACCAGAAGGCGUCAACGGGAAGGCUGACAGGGGUGCACAGGAAGUACAGUACAUCCAAGUUUAGCUACAUUGCAAAUUCAGAACCAGCGAAGUGUCUGGUGCAGAAUCAACAACUAUAGCAGGCCAUACUCUCACUAACAAACAUUACAUAUGAUGACUUUGUUAAUUGGGUAAUUUGGGAAGAAGAAGAAGAUUAAUGCACUUAAUAAUUCAGCAACUGUGGUUGCACACCUAGGAAAGUUGGGUUACCCUAGAUUUCUAGGAUUUGCAGCAGCCUCAAGUUGUUUGCUUGAGAAAGCAGAUUAGUGUGUUCUAAUUGAACAUGCUCCAUUUUUCAUUUCAAAUUUUUACUUUGAACUUCAAAUAAAUUGAUGACACAAAUGGAUUUCAUUUUCUCAAUUGUUGUUGCUCAUGGUUUAUGUUUGAACUUUUUUCGAUAGUUGUUGAUAAUAACAUCUUCUAUAGAGAGCAAUUUACUAACGCUUUUCGAAAGUUAUCAUGAAUUUUGUGCCGGUAAAAAUAUAGAAGACAAAAAAAAUGGAUAGUAACUAUUUUGGACCGCUAUUGUAAAGGGUUAAAAUAUUAGAAAUUUUAUCCCACCUUACAUUUCCGUUUUUAUAUAAUAUCAAAAUACCAAUUUGUCCUUGUAAAGGGUUAAAAUAUCCAAACAUUUCUACAUGGCUCACUAUUCUUUGCAAAGUGCUUGUAUCUUCCAAAAACUAACCUACAUUGACUUAUGAGCCGCCGCAACUUAUACUAUUCAGAAUUUGAGUACAAGUCCAGUACCUGCAAGCCACGUCGCUUCACUUAGGGCUGGUUUGGUAUUGCUGUGCUUUGAAAAAAAGCUGCUGUGAGAAUAAGCGGCUGUGCUGUGAGAAUAAGCGGCUGUGAAAUAAAGCCAGUAGAGUGUUUGGUAAACUUUUUUGUGAAAGUGCUUUUGGAAAAAAAAGUAGGAUGAUAGUGUGUCUUUUCAUUAAAGGAGCACUGUAGCUCCGUGUGCUUUGAAAAAACUGGCUUUUUUUCAAAGCAACAAAUAGCAGCUUCAGCUUUUCCUUUGAUUUUCAGCUUAUUCUCACAGCAGCUUCCAAAAUAAGCCAUUUUUUUUCAGUUUACCAAACACAAAAAUGACCCUCAGCUUUUUUUCACAGUGGCUUUUUUUAAAAUCACCUCAAUCCCAAACGGGGC
This 27438-nucleotide long non-coding RNA is filed under the name Malus domestica (apple). RNAcentral's name for it is "long non-coding RNA (MDOM_LNC001497)". Lineage: Eukaryota; Viridiplantae; Streptophyta; Magnoliopsida; Rosales; Rosaceae. The record is from RNAcentral.